GGGUCCAUAGCUCAAAUGGUAGAGCGCUCGUUUUGCAUACGAGAGGUAGCGAGAUCGAUGCUCGCUGGAUCCA
This 73-nucleotide transfer RNA is filed under the name Rhodospirillaceae bacterium. RNAcentral describes it as "tRNA-Ala". It matches the Rfam family "tRNA". Rfam says of the family: Transfer RNA (tRNA) molecules are approximately 80 nucleotides in length. Their secondary structure includes four short double-helical elements and three loops (D, anti-codon, and T loops). The record is from RNAcentral. Lineage: Bacteria; Pseudomonadati; Pseudomonadota; Alphaproteobacteria; Rhodospirillales; Rhodospirillaceae.